Molecule: ribosomal RNA, 789 nt
Filed under: uncultured archaeon
Lineage: Archaea
Description: bacterial SSU rRNA
Rfam family: Archaeal small subunit ribosomal RNA
Source: RNAcentral
ACUGCUCAGUAACACGUGGACAAUCUGCCCUGAAGUGGAGAAUAAUCCCGGGAAACUGGGGGUAAUACUCCAUAGUUCGUUAUUACUGGAAUGUAUUUCGAACGAAAGAUCCGUCGCUUCAGGAUGAGUCUGCGGCCGAUUAGGUAGUUGUUGGGGUAAUUGCCCAACAAGCCUGUCAUCGGUACGGGUUGUGGGAGCAAGAGCCCGGAGAUGGAUUCUGAGACACGAAUCCAGGCCCUACGGGGCGCAGCAGGCGCGAAAACUUUACCAUGCGGGCAACCGUGAUAAGGAAACCCCGAGUGCCAGCACAGGCUGGCUGUCCGCCAGUUUAAACAACUGGCGAAGAAAGGGCCGGGCAAGACCGGUGCCAGCCGCCGCGGUAAUACCGGCGGCUCGAGUGGUGGCCGCUAUUACUGGGCUUAAAGGGUCCGUAGCUUGAUAAUUGGGUCCCUUGAGAAAUCCGCCGGCUUAACUGGCGGGCGUUCAGGGGAAACUUGUUUUCUAGGGACCGGGAGAGGUGAGGGGUACUGCCGGGGUAGGAGUGAAAUCCUGUAAUCCCGGUGGGACCACCUAUGGCGAAGGCAUCUCACCAGAACGGGUCCGACAGUGAGGGACGAAAGCUGGGGGAGCAAACCGGAUUAGAUACCCGGGUAGUCCCAGCUGUAAACUAUGUGCGUUAGGUGUGUCAGUGACCACGUGUCACUGAGGUGCCGAAGGGAAACCGUGAAACGCACCGCCUGGGGAGUACGGUCGCAAGGCUGAAACUUAAAGGAAUUGGCGGGGGAGCAC